Homo sapiens (human) is the source of this 521-nucleotide non-coding RNA. NCBI's taxonomy places the organism in Eukaryota, Metazoa, Chordata, Mammalia, Primates, Hominidae. The record is from the annotation of a RefSeq genome assembly.
AUAAACAACUUGAUGCAGAUGUUUCCCCCAAGCCCACUAUUUUUCUUCCUUCAAUUGCUGAAACAAAGCUCCAGAAGGCUGGAACAUACCUUUGUCUUCUUGAGAAAUUUUUCCCUGAUGUUAUUAAGAUACAUUGGCAAGAAAAGAAGAGCAACACGAUUCUGGGAUCCCAGGAGGGGAACACCAUGAAGACUAACGACACAUACAUGAAAUUUAGCUGGUUAACGGUGCCAGAAAAGUCACUGGACAAAGAACACAGAUGUAUCGUCAGACAUGAGAAUAAUAAAAACGGAGUUGAUCAAGAAAUUAUCUUUCCUCCAAUAAAGACAGAUGUCAUCACAAUGGAUCCCAAAGACAAUUGUUCAAAAGAUGCAAAUGAUACACUACUGCUGCAGCUCACAAACACCUCUGCAUAUUACAUGUACCUCCUCCUGCUCCUCAAGAGUGUGGUCUAUUUUGCCAUCAUCACCUGCUGUCUGCUUAGAAGAACGGCUUUCUGCUGCAAUGGAGAGAAAUCAUAA